This 1673-nucleotide ribosomal RNA is filed under the name Escherichia coli. RNAcentral describes it as "bacterial LSU rRNA". It matches the Rfam family "Bacterial large subunit ribosomal RNA", at positions 1270 to 2925 of the family's 2925-position model. The record is from RNAcentral. Lineage: Bacteria; Pseudomonadati; Pseudomonadota; Gammaproteobacteria; Enterobacterales; Enterobacteriaceae.
AUGCUGGAGGUAUCAGAAGUGCGAAUGCUGACAUAAGUAACGAUAAAGCGGGUGAAAAGCCCGCUCGCCGGAAGACCAAGGGUUCCUGUCCAACGUUAAUCGGGGCAGGGUGAGUCGACCCCUAAGGCGAGGCCGAAAGGCGUAGUCGAUGGGAAACAGGUUAAUAUUCCUGUACUUGGUGUUACUGCGAAGGGGGGACGGAGAAGGCUAUGUUGGCCGGGCGACGGUUGUCCCGGUUUAAGCGUGUAGGCUGGUUUUCCAGGCAAAUCCGGAAAAUCAAGGCUGAGGCGUGAUGACGAGGCACUACGGUGCUGAAGCAACAAAUGCCCUGCUUCCAGGAAAAGCCUCUAAGCAUCAGGUAACAUCAAAUCGUACCCCAAACCGACACAGGUGGUCAGGUAGAGAAUACCAAGGCGCUUGAGAGAACUCGGGUGAAGGAACUAGGCAAAAUGGUGCCGUAACUUCGGGAGAAGGCACGCUGAUAUGUAGGUGAAGCGACUUGCUCGUGGAGCUGAAAUCAGUCGAAGAUACCAGCUGGCUGCAACUGUUUAUUAAAAACACAGCACUGUGCAAACACGAAAGUGGACGUAUACGGUGUGACGCCUGCCCGGUGCCGGAAGGUUAAUUGAUGGGGUUAGCGCAAGCGAAGCUCUUGAUCGAAGCCCCGGUAAACGGCGGCCGUAACUAUAACGGUCCUAAGGUAGCGAAAUUCCUUGUCGGGUAAGUUCCGACCUGCACGAAUGGCGUAAUGAUGGCCAGGCUGUCUCCACCCGAGACUCAGUGAAAUUGAACUCGCUGUGAAGAUGCAGUGUACCCGCGGCAAGACGGAAAGACCCCGUGAACCUUUACUAUAGCUUGACACUGAACAUUGAGCCUUGAUGUGUAGGAUAGGUGGGAGGCUUUGAAGUGUGGACGCCAGUCUGCAUGGAGCCGACCUUGAAAUACCACCCUUUAAUGUUUGAUGUUCUAACGUUGACCCGUAAUCCGGGUUGCGGACAGUGUCUGGUGGGUAGUUUGACUGGGGCGGUCUCCUCCUAAAGAGUAACGGAGGAGCACGAAGGUUGGCUAAUCCUGGUCGGACAUCAGGAGGUUAGUGCAAUGGCAUAAGCCAGCUUGACUGCGAGCGUGACGGCGCGAGCAGGUGCGAAAGCAGGUCAUAGUGAUCCGGUGGUUCUGAAUGGAAGGGCCAUCGCUCAACGGAUAAAAGGUACUCCGGGGAUAACAGGCUGAUACCGCCCAAGAGUUCAUAUCGACGGCGGUGUUUGGCACCUCGAUGUCGGCUCAUCACAUCCUGGGGCUGAAGUAGGUCCCAAGGGUAUGGCUGUUCGCCAUUUAAAGUGGUACGCGAGCUGGGUUUAGAACGUCGUGAGACAGUUCGGUCCCUAUCUGCCGUGGGCGCUGGAGAACUGAGGGGGGCUGCUCCUAGUACGAGAGGACCGGAGUGGACGCAUCACUGGUGUUCGGGUUGUCAUGCCAAUGGCACUGCCCGGUAGCUAAAUGCGGAAGAGAUAAGUGCUGAAAGCAUCUAAGCACGAAACUUGCCCCGAGAUGAGUUCUCCCUGACUCCUUGAGAGUCCUGAAGGAACGUUGAAGACGACGACGUUGAUAGGCCGGGUGUGUAAGCGCAGCGAUGCGUUGAGCUAACCGGUACUAAUGAACCGUGAGGCUUAACC